GAAGAACGCAGCUAAUUGCGCCGUCAUCAUGUGAACUGCAGGAUACAUGAACAUUGACAUUUCGAACGCACAUUGCGGUCCUCGGAUACUGUUCCCGGACCACCUCUGGCUGAGGGUCGU
Molecule: ribosomal RNA, 120 nt
Filed under: Synopsyllus girardi
Lineage: Eukaryota; Metazoa; Arthropoda; Insecta; Siphonaptera; Pulicidae
Description: partial 5.8S ribosomal RNA
Rfam family: 5.8S ribosomal RNA
About the family: 5.8S ribosomal RNA (5.8S rRNA) is a component of the large subunit of the eukaryotic ribosome. It is transcribed by RNA polymerase I as part of the 45S precursor that also contains 18S and 28S rRNA.
Source: RNAcentral